GGAAAGGUGGCAGAGCGGUUUAAUGCAGCGGUCUUGAAAACCGUCGAGGGUGCGAGCCCUCCCAGAGUUCGAAUCUCUGCCUUUCCGCCA
Molecule: transfer RNA, 90 nt
Filed under: Alphaproteobacteria bacterium
Lineage: Bacteria; Pseudomonadati; Pseudomonadota; Alphaproteobacteria
Also listed under: 1 other name
Description: tRNA-Ser
Rfam family: tRNA
About the family: Transfer RNA (tRNA) molecules are approximately 80 nucleotides in length. Their secondary structure includes four short double-helical elements and three loops (D, anti-codon, and T loops).
Source: RNAcentral